This 923-nucleotide long non-coding RNA is filed under the name Carica papaya (papaya). Its description in RNAcentral is "long non-coding RNA (CPAP_LNC002584)". The record is from RNAcentral. Lineage: Eukaryota; Viridiplantae; Streptophyta; Magnoliopsida; Brassicales; Caricaceae.
UUAUUUUUGGGAUUUAAUUGAAAACGAUUUUGGAAAAAAAAAAGGUGAAAAUUUGGAUUCUGAUGGUGUUUUUGAAAAGAAAAUUGAAAACCGGGAGUCAAAAUACAAUUUAGAAAAUUGUGCCACGUCAACAGCCCGAUCAGCAGCCCCGGCCAACCAGGACACACCGCGUGGUAGAGACACUAAUGCGAGAGGUCAUGCGAAACGGAGUCACGUGGGCGAUCCGCGUGCGCGCGAUCGAACGGCUGAGGUCCGUUCCCGCACGCACAGACGGCCCAGAUAAAAAACGCGCACGGACAGCUCAGAUCGCUCACGCACGGAUGACCCAGAUUGAAUCACGUACAGAUGGCCCAGAUUGCAUCACGAUGAAUGGUCCAGAUUCAUUUUCUAUUUAAUCGCGAUUGGACGGUCCAGAUUAAAUCACGAUGGAUGGCUCAUAUUAAAAGUAGAAGGUUAUAAAUAAUCUCAUUCACACCCAAACCCUAACCCUAGCCGCCAGAGCCUUCGCCGGAGAAGACAGCCCAGCCACCAGGGAACCGACCGCCGCCACCCGCCGCCGCACCGGAGCACUUCUCGACCGCCAAUCGAGGUAAAAAUUCUCUCCUUGGCUCAAAUUUCGAUUCUUAACCCACCUGUGGCCAAAUAGGAGCCAAAACACCGGCUAAUCGGUCGGAAAACACCGCUGAAGCUUAGCUACCAUGGGUUUUCUCAGUUUUUGCCUCCGAUGAGGCCCUUCCCGAUUCCCGUUCAAUGUAAUUUUUCCACCAUUGUGACCAUCGUUCCUUCCUCUACAGAUUGAUUGAAGCAAAAUACCAAAUCGCGACUCGAUCCGGAGGAGCCGCCGCACCGGAGAGCCCCGCCGCCGGUAAGUCUCGAUUUUUUAUGUUUUUCGACCCACUGAGGGCCUUACGUGUGUUUUCUCG